RNAcentral lists this ribosomal RNA (392 nucleotides) under uncultured bacterium. Its description in RNAcentral is "partial 16S ribosomal RNA". It matches the Rfam family "Bacterial small subunit ribosomal RNA", at positions 338 to 745 of the family's 1533-position model. The record is from RNAcentral.
CCUACGGGCGGCAGCAGUGGGGAAUAUUGGGCAAUGGGCGCAAGCCUGACCCAGCAACGCCGCGUGAAGGAAGAAGGCUUUCGGGUUGUAAACUUCUUUUAAGAGGGAAGAGCAGAAGACGGUACCUCUUGAAUAAGCCACGGCUAACUACGUGCCAGCAGCCGCGGUAAUACGUAGGUGGCAAGCGUUGUCCGGAUUUACUGGGUGGAAAGGGCGUGCCUCCGGAAAGACACGUCAGAUGUGAAAUCCCGCGGCUCAACCGCGGAACUGCAUUUGAAUCUGUUUUUCUUGAGUACCGGAGAGGUCAUCGGAAUUCCUUGUGGAGCGGGGACAUGCGUAGAUAUAAGGAAGAACACCAGUGGCGGAGGCGGAUGACUGGACAGCAACUGACG